CUGAGAGGAUGACCAGCCACACUGGAACUGAGACACGGUCCAGACUCCUACGGGAGGCAGCAGUGGGGAAUAUUGCACAAUGGGCGCAAGCCUGAUGCAGCCAUGCCGCGUGUAUGAAGAAGGCCUUCGGGUUGUAAAGUACUUUCAGCGGGGAGGAAGGGAGUAAAGUUAAUACCUUUGCUCAUUGACGUUACCCGCAGAAGAAGCACCGGCUAACUCCGUGCCAGCAGCCGCGGUAAUACGGAGGGUGCAAGCGUUAAUCGGAAUUACUGGGCGUAAAGCGCACGCAGGCGGUUUGUUAAGUCAGAUGUGAAAUCCCCGGGCUCAACCUGGGAACUGCAUCUGAUACUGGCAAGCUUGAGUCUCGUAGAGGGGGGUAGAAUUCCAGGUGUAGCGGUGAAAUGCGUAGAGAUCUGGAGGAAUAUCGGUGGCGAAGGCGGCC
This 442-nucleotide ribosomal RNA is filed under the name Shigella sonnei. Its description in RNAcentral is "bacterial SSU rRNA". It matches the Rfam family "Bacterial small subunit ribosomal RNA", at positions 292 to 726 of the family's 1533-position model. The record is from RNAcentral. Lineage: Bacteria; Pseudomonadati; Pseudomonadota; Gammaproteobacteria; Enterobacterales; Enterobacteriaceae.